Molecule: non-coding RNA, 835 nt
Organism: Paramuricea clavata
Lineage: Eukaryota; Metazoa; Cnidaria; Anthozoa; Malacalcyonacea; Plexauridae
Source: the annotation of a GenBank genome assembly
AUUUUUCAUAGAGACGAGAAAGUGUUAAGUAGAAUAAAAAAGAAUUAAAGCAAGUGUAGGCGAGAUGGUCUAGUGGUAAGGACAAAGUGUUGCAAGUGCGUGAAGCCAGGUUCAAGUCGUGGUUGUGCCAAGAGCAUUUUAAUGCCGGGCGUCGUUGUUAAUUAAUUCCACCCAAGACGAGAAAGAGUUAAGUAGAAUAAAAAAGAAUUAAAGCAAGUGUAGGCGAGAUGGUCUAGUGGUAAGGACAAAUUGUUGCAAGUGCGUGAAGCCAGGUUCAAGUCGUGGUUGUGCCAAGAGCAUUUUAAUGUCAGGCGUCGUUGUUAAUUAAUUCCACCCGAGACGAGAAAGAGUUAAGUAGAAUAAAAAAGAAUUAAAGCAAGUGUAGGCGAGAUGGUCUAGUGGUAAGGACAAAUUGUUGCAAGUGCGUGAAGCCAGGUUCAAGUCGUGGUUGUGCCAAGAGCAUUUUAAUGUCAGGCGUCGUUGUUAAUUAAUUGCACCCGAGACGAGAAACCGUUAAGUAGAAUAAAAAAAAUUAAAGCAAGUGUAGGCGGAGAUGGUCUAGUGGUAAGGACAAAGUGUUGCAAGUGCGUGAAGCUAGGUUCAAGUCGUGGUUGUGCCAAGAGCAUUUUAAUGUCAGGCGUCGUUGUUAAUUAAUUCCACCCGAGACGAGAAAGAGUUAAGUAGAAUAAAAAAGAGUUAAAGCAAGUGUAGGCGAGAUGGUCUAGUGGUAAGGACAAAGUGUUGCAAGUGUGUGACCCCAGGUUCAAGUCGUGGUUGUGCCAAGAGCAUUUUAAUGUCAGGCGUCGUUGUUAAUUAAUUCCACCCGAGACGAGAA